RNAcentral lists this transfer RNA (73 nucleotides) under Virgisporangium ochraceum. RNAcentral's name for it is "tRNA-Lys". It matches the Rfam family "tRNA". Rfam says of the family: Transfer RNA (tRNA) molecules are approximately 80 nucleotides in length. Their secondary structure includes four short double-helical elements and three loops (D, anti-codon, and T loops). Lineage: Bacteria; Bacillati; Actinomycetota; Actinomycetes; Micromonosporales; Micromonosporaceae. The record is from RNAcentral.
GCGCCGCUAGCUCAACGGCAGAGCGACUGCCUCUUAAGCAGUGGGUUCGGGGUUCAAGUCCCCGGCGGCGUAC